GUGAUGUAGGUCUUUAGUGCAGAGGGAUGACGAGGAAUCCACGAUCUGA
Molecule: small nucleolar RNA, 49 nt
Filed under: Pyrobaculum aerophilum str. IM2
Lineage: Archaea; Thermoproteati; Thermoproteota; Thermoprotei; Thermoproteales; Thermoproteaceae
Description: PAEsR65
Source: RNAcentral